RNAcentral lists this ribosomal RNA (378 nucleotides) under uncultured eukaryote. RNAcentral describes it as "SSU rRNA". It matches the Rfam family "Eukaryotic small subunit ribosomal RNA", at positions 587 to 969 of the family's 1831-position model. The record is from RNAcentral.
AGCUCCAAUAGCGUAUAUUAAAGGUGUUGCGGUUAAAAAGCUCGUAGUUGGAUUUCUGCUGAAGCAAACCGGUCCGCCCUCUGGGUGAGUAUCUGGCUUUACUUUGGCAUAUGCCCAGACUUUGCAGCUGCACUUGACUGUGUGGUGUAAAGGCUGAGCCGUUUACUUUGAGGAAAUCAGAGUGCUUCAAGCAGGCAAUUGCCUUGGAUACAUUAGCAUGGAAUAAUAUGAUAAGACUGUGGUUUUAUUUUGUUGGCUGCUAGAAUUACAGUAAUGAUUAAUAGGGAUAGUUGGGGGCAUUCAUAUUUAACUGUCAGAGGUGAAAUUCUUGGAUUUGUUAAGGAUGAACGACUGCGAAAGCAUUUGCCAAGGAUGCUU